This 325-nucleotide ribosomal RNA is filed under the name uncultured eukaryote. Its description in RNAcentral is "partial 18S ribosomal RNA". It matches the Rfam family "Eukaryotic small subunit ribosomal RNA", at positions 1470 to 1796 of the family's 1831-position model. The record is from RNAcentral.
CCCUUAGAUGUUCUGGGCCGCACGCGCGUUACACUGAUGCAUUCAACGAGUUCUUCCUUGGCCGAGAGGCCUGGGCAAUCUUUUGAACGUGCAUCGUGAUAGGGAUAGAUUAUUGCAAUUAUUAAUCUUGAACGAGGAAUUCCUAGUAAACGCAGUUCAUCAAACUGCAUUGAUUACGUCCCUGCCCUUUGUACACACCGCCCGUCGCACCUACCGAUUGAAUGGUCCGGUGAAGCCUCGGGAUUGUGGCUGGUCUCCUUUAUUGGGGGUCGGUCGCGAGAACUUGUCUAAACCUUAUCAUUUAGAGGAAGGUGAAGUCGUANCA